Molecule: ribosomal RNA, 446 nt
Filed under: uncultured bacterium
Lineage: Bacteria
Description: bacterial SSU rRNA
Rfam family: Bacterial small subunit ribosomal RNA
Source: RNAcentral
AACGAACGCUGGCGGCAGGCCUAACACAUGCAAGUCGAGCGCACCUUCGGGUGAGCGGCGGACGGGUUAGUAACGCGUGGGAAUAUGCCCAGAUCUACGGAAUAGCCUCGGGAAACUGAGAGUAAUACCGUAUACGCCCUUCGGGGGAAAGAUUUAUCGGAUUUGGAUUAGCCCGCGUUGGAUUAGGUAGUUGGUGGGGUAAUGGCCUACCAAGCCGACGAUCCAUAGCUGGUUUGAGAGGAUGAUCAGCAACACUGGGACUGAGACACGGCCCAGACUCCUACGGGAGGCAGCAGUGGGGAAUCUUAGACAAUGGGGAAACCCUGAUCUAGCCAUGCCGCGUGAGUGACGAAGGCCCUAGGGUCGUAAAGCUCUUUCGCCAGGGAAGAUAAUGACGGUACCUGGUAAAGAAACCCGGCUAACUCCGUGCCAGCAGCCGCGGUAAU